Molecule: ribosomal RNA, 556 nt
Filed under: Cortinarius cf. vanduzerensis F15805
Lineage: Eukaryota; Fungi; Basidiomycota; Agaricomycetes; Agaricales; Cortinariaceae
Description: eukaryotic LSU rRNA
Rfam family: Eukaryotic large subunit ribosomal RNA
Source: RNAcentral
GUGACCUCAAAUCAGGUAGGACUACCCGCUGAACUUAAGCAUAUCAAUAAGCGGAGGAAAAGAAACUAACAAGGAUUCCCCUAGUAACUGCGAGUGAAGCGGGAAAAGCUCAAAUUUAAAAUCUGUCAGUCUUUGGCUGUCCGAGUUGUAAUCUAGAGAAGUGUUGUCGGCGCUGGACCGUGUACAAGUCUCCUGGAAUGGAGCGUCAUAGAGGGUGAGAAUCCCGUCUUUGACACGGACUGCCAGGGCUUUGUGAUGCGCUCUCGAAGAGUCGAGUUGUUUGGGAAUGCAGCUCAAAAUGGGUGGUAAAUUCCAUCUAAAGCUAAAUAUUGGCGAGAGACCGAUAGCGAACAAGUACCGUGAGGGAAAGAUGAAAAGAACUUUGGAAAGAGAGUUAAACAGUACGUGAAAUUGCUGAAAGGGAAACGCUUGAAGUCAGUCAUGUUGUCCAGGGAUCAACCUUGCUUUUGCUUGGUGUACUUUCUGGUUGACGGGUCAGCAUCAAUUUUGACCAUUGGAAAAAGAUUGAGGGAAUGUGGCAUUCUUGGAUGUGUUA